Molecule: long non-coding RNA, 248 nt
Organism: Bufo bufo (common toad)
Lineage: Eukaryota; Metazoa; Chordata; Amphibia; Anura; Bufonidae
Exons: 3
Source: RefSeq, a predicted model, not a curated record
CAUGACAUCAUGAAAGGUCCUUUAGCCCACCAGUCUCUGGUCUCCAGUGGAGGUUCCUACAAUAUAGGAUCUGCUCAGUGGAUAUCUUCUAUAUAAGAUCCUUCUCCUGAUUGACCCGUCAAGGAUGAAUAGGGACAGAGACAAGAUGGCGAAGAGUAUAAUAAAUCUCACCCUAGAGAUCCUCUUACAGCUUACUGGAGAGGACUACACAGUAGUGAAGAAGACCUCUAGUGGGCGCUGUCAGGACC